UAGUCCACGCCGUAAACGAUGGAUACUAGCUGUCCGGGUCCUUGAGACCUGGGCGGCCAAGCGAAAGUGAUAAGUAUCCCACCUGGGGAGUACGUUCGCAAGAAUGAAACGCAAAGGAAUUGACGGGGGCCCGCACAAGCGGUGGAGCAUGUGGUUUAAUUCGAUGAUACGCGAGGAACCUUACCAGGGCUUAAAUGUAUAUUGACAGGUUUAGAGAUAGACUUUCCUUCGGGCAAUUUACAAGGUGCUGCAUGGUUGUCGUCAGCUCGUGCCGUGAGGUGUCAGGUUAAGUCCUAUAACGAGCGCAACCCCUGUUGUUAGUUGCCAGCGAGUCAUGUCGGGGACUCUAACAAGACUGCCGGUGCAAACCGUGAGGAAGGUGGGGAUGACGUCAAAUCAUCACGGCCCUUACGUCCUGGGGCCACACACGUGCUACAAUGGGCGGUACAGAGAGCAGCCACGUCGCAAGGCGGAGCGAAUCUAUAAAACCGGGUCACAGUUCGGGAUCGGGGGUCUGC
This 518-nucleotide ribosomal RNA is filed under the name uncultured bacterium. RNAcentral describes it as "bacterial SSU rRNA". It matches the Rfam family "Bacterial small subunit ribosomal RNA", at positions 791 to 1308 of the family's 1533-position model. The record is from RNAcentral.